UAAGUAGUGUGAUGUUAUAGA
Caenorhabditis elegans is the source of this 21-nucleotide non-coding RNA. The record is from Ensembl. Lineage: Eukaryota; Metazoa; Nematoda; Chromadorea; Rhabditida; Rhabditidae.